RNAcentral lists this ribosomal RNA (651 nucleotides) under uncultured bacterium. RNAcentral describes it as "bacterial SSU rRNA". It matches the Rfam family "Bacterial small subunit ribosomal RNA", at positions 202 to 842 of the family's 1533-position model. The record is from RNAcentral.
AAAGAUGGUUCUGCUAUCACUCUUGGAUGGACCUGCGGUGCAUUAGCUAGUUGGUAAGGUAACGGCUUACCAAGGCAAUGAUGCAUAGCCGAGUUGAGAGACUGAUCGGCCACAUUGGGACUGAGACACGGCCCAAACUCCUACGGGAGGCAGCAGUAGGGAAUCUUCCACAAUGGACGAAAGUCUGAUGGAGCAACGCCGCGUGAGUGAAGAAGGGUUUCGGCUCGUAAAGCUCUGUUGGUAGUGAAGAAAGAUAGAGGUAGUAACUGGCCUUUAUUGACGGUAAUUACUUAGAAAGUCACGGCUAACUACGUGCCAGCAGCCGCGGUAAUACGUAGGUGGCAAGCGUUGUCCGGAUUUAUUGGGCGUAAAGCGAGUGCAGGCGGUUCAAUAAGUCUGAUGUGAAAGCCUUCGGCUCAACCGGAGAAUUGCAUCAGAAACUGUUGAACUUGAGUGCGGAAGAGGAGAGUGGAACUCCAUGUGUAGCGGUGGAAUGCGUAGAUAUAUGGAAGAACACCAGUGGCGAAGGCGGCUCUCUGGUCUGCAACUGACGCUGAGGCUCGAAAGCAUGGGUAGCGAACAGGAUUAGAUACCCUGGUAGUCCAUGCCGUAAACGAUGAGUGCUAAGUGUUGGGAGGUUUCCGCCUCUCA